This 230-nucleotide unclassified non-coding RNA is filed under the name Hevea brasiliensis (rubber tree). Lineage: Eukaryota; Viridiplantae; Streptophyta; Magnoliopsida; Malpighiales; Euphorbiaceae. The record is from RNAcentral.
UGAAAGGCCAACUUACAAAAGCAUAAUAUUAUAACAGGAAAUGAUUAGGUAUCAAGGAAUUCCUUUAGUUACAUAGAGAUUUGUAUAAGUAUAAUAACCAUAUAUGUAAUUCUUCCUGUUUUGAUGUGUAGUCAAAAAGCAAGAAAAUAACAUUCAAAUAUCACAACAUAAAAGAACAGGCUAAAUUUAUGUGCAACAGCUAUCCAUUGGUGAUCAAUACCUCACACUUA